GGGGAAUUUUGGACAAUGGGGGCAACCCUGAUCCAGCAAUGCCGCGUGUGUGAAGAAGGCGUUCGGGUUGUAAAGCACUUUUGUCCGGGAAGAAAUCCUUUUCGAUAAUACCGAAGGGGGAUGACGGUACCGGAAGAAUAAGCACCGGCUAACUACGUGCCAGCAGCCGCGGUAAUACGUAGGGUGCGAGCGUUAAUCGGAAUUACUGGGCGUAAAGCGUGCGCAGGCGGUGAUGUAAGGCCGAUGUGAAAUCCCCGGGCUUAACCUGGGAACUGCAUUGGUGACUGCAUCGCUGGAGUAUGGCAGAGGGGGGUAGAAUUCCACGUGUAGCAGUGAAAUGCGUAGAGAUGUGGAGGAAUACCGAUGGCGAAGGCAGCCCCCUGGGCCAAUACUGACGCUCAUGCACGAAAGCGUGGGGAGCAAAC
Molecule: ribosomal RNA, 425 nt
Filed under: uncultured bacterium
Lineage: Bacteria
Description: bacterial SSU rRNA
Rfam family: Bacterial small subunit ribosomal RNA
Source: RNAcentral